This is a long non-coding RNA of Etheostoma cragini (Arkansas darter), 274 nucleotides long. RefSeq lists it as uncharacterized. The transcript has 3 exons. NCBI's taxonomy places the organism in Eukaryota, Metazoa, Chordata, Actinopteri, Perciformes, Percidae. The record is from RefSeq and is a predicted model, not a curated record.
CUGGAUGACUCGCUUCAGAAGGAUUGAAAAUUUGCCACUUUCCCUCUUUAUUGUGAAGCUUAGCGCAGCACCAUUGCAACCGUGAACAACACUGGCUUGGCCUCGUCAUCCUUCCCAGCUCCAUCCUCUCUUCAAAAAUCACCACAUCCGGUUGCCAAAGAUAAGAUGGCGACGCCCAUAUGGCCAAAACUCGAGGCUUCAAAACAGUAGUCCACAAACCAAUGGGUGAUGUGCCUGCUGCUACGUCCACUAUUUUUAUAGUCUAUGUUUACUU